UAUGUGAUCGUCUCUCGCAUAUCAAUAAGCGGAGGAAAAGAAACUAACAAGGAUUCCCCUAGUAACGGCGAGAUGAAGCGGGAAGAGCUCAAAUUUGAAAUCUUAAAGGGUUUCCCUUUACGAAUUGUAGUUUAAAGAAGUGUUUUCUGUUGAGGUUUUGGUAAAAGUUCUUUGGAAUAGGACAUCAUAGAGGGUGAGAAUCCCGUAUUUGACCUUUACUUUCAACUUUGUGAUACACUUUCAAAGAGUCGGAUUGUUUGGGAAUGCAGUCCAAAAUGGGUGGUAAAUUUCAUCUAAAGCUAAAUAUUGGCGAGAGACCGAUAGCGAACAAGUACCGUGAGGGAAAGAUGAAAAGAACUUUGAAAAGAGAGUUAAACAGUACGUGAAAUUGUCAAAAGGGAAGCGUUUGACACCAGUGUUGUUUUUCUGAAAAUCAAUUAAAGAACUGUUUAUGCUAAGUUGUUUAGACUUUAUCAGCUAACUGUUUAGUUUUGAGCUUUUCUUUAAUGCACUUUUCAGUUAACAAGUCAACAUCAAUUUCUUUUGCUGUAAAAAAGCUCGAGGAAGGUGGCUUGAGAUUCGUCUUAAGUGUUUAUAGCCUCUUGCCUAUGCAGUCGGAGAGAUUGAGGUCUGCAGCGUAGAUCCUUCGGGGCUAAAUGCAUUUGUGCUAAGUUAUAGCAUUUUAUAGACAACUUGUUGACUAUGAUUUGUCUUGUAGCUUACUCGCUUAUGUUAUUUUACCUACGCUUAGGAUGUUGAAUCUACAGAGCGAGAGU
Molecule: ribosomal RNA, 776 nt
Filed under: uncultured Neocallimastigales
Lineage: Eukaryota; Fungi; Neocallimastigomycota; Neocallimastigomycetes; Neocallimastigales
Description: partial large subunit ribosomal RNA
Rfam family: Eukaryotic large subunit ribosomal RNA
Source: RNAcentral